Small nuclear RNA from Rhododendron vialii, 205 nucleotides. RefSeq annotates it as U2 spliceosomal RNA. NCBI's taxonomy places the organism in Eukaryota, Viridiplantae, Streptophyta, Magnoliopsida, Ericales, Ericaceae. The transcript has a single exon. The record is from RefSeq and is a predicted model, not a curated record.
AUACCUUUCUCGGCCUUCUGGCUAAGAUCAAGUGUAGUAUCUGUUCUUAUUAGUUUAAUAUCUGAUAUGUUGGCCAUCAGCUCACUCUUUAUUAAAUUAAAUAAAUUUUUUGAAAGGGAGGGCCCACUAUAGUAGCUUGCUACUGGGUCGGCCUCUCAUGUGUUGCCUUGGUGUUGCACUAUUGCCUUGACCUGGUGCACCCCAC